GUAGGAAUGAGUGGGUUACAUUGGCAAGAAAAAGAGAAAUGAGAAGUAAAAGCUGUAGUGGGAAAAUAGGAAACCACUAGACAUGUUUUUAGUCGGAGUGAAGGUUUUGGAUCAAUGCUACUUGGGAAACAUUCCAAGGAAAAUCUGAAAUGUGUUGGAGGAAAGUGUGGUGUCGGUGAGAGACUUCAGAAGAAGUCUCAAAAAGAUGGAAUGUUUCUUGUAUGGAUUUUCGUAGCCGGGCACCUAUCAAGGGGGUUAUUUCUGGGGUUGCGUAAGAAAUAAAGGCAGAGUAUAUUACUGAAGACAUUGAUGGAGUGGUUGGUGCACGUCAACUGACCUGUAUGAGCCGAGGCUGUGCAAGAAAUCCUGUCGGGACCUACUGGCUUAUUAUGUCCGAAGGAACGGACUGCUUAUCCUUUAACAUCAUGCUGUGUUUGACUGCUGUCUUUCCAUCGGCCCUAUGCAGUGGUGUCGUGGUGCCUGGAGAAUGGGCCUGGCUGACUAGUGUGUGGGCAUGUGUCCAGGCCCACUCACGCCCACGCCCCUGAUGCAAACAGUACAUGAUGACUGACCUGUGCAUCACAAAAAGCCUUUGGACCAAACUCAUUCAAUACAUGGUUUGCAUACCCAUUGUUGCCUUAGUUAGUGUUUUCUAUCUACCCUACCGAUGACAUUCUUCUGUGAGCUCCAUGCCAAAUCCAAUUGGUCUUG
Long non-coding RNA from Oncorhynchus gorbuscha (pink salmon), 711 nucleotides. RefSeq lists it as uncharacterized. The transcript has 4 exons. Lineage: Eukaryota; Metazoa; Chordata; Actinopteri; Salmoniformes; Salmonidae. The record is from RefSeq and is a predicted model, not a curated record.